UUGAAGAAUCUGGGUAUUUGAUGCAAAUCUACCUUCUCUGUUUUCUGGGAGAAGGUAUAUGAGAGAUAGAGAGAGAAUAGGAUCUGACCUGCAUUGUUGAAACUAAUCUAUUUUUUUGUGAGGUAUAUGUAAAAUAUGGAUAUUUGUUGAAUGAUUAUUAUUGGAAGUUUUAUAAGUAUCUACACUUAUUGCUUUUUUUUUUUUCUAAAAAAUAAAAUUUUAGCUAAAUAAUCACUUCAUUAUCUUUAGCUCAUUAAAAGAACGCUUAAACAAAUUCUUGUAUGAAACGGGCUUAGUGUGAGACGCUUAAACAAAUUUUGAAUGUGUUUGUUGGAUAUUUUAAAGAGAAUUUUAAGUUGUAUAAUACUUUUUUGGGUGAUUCAUUGUGAAAUUAUAUGUAUUAUUAGCAUUAGUCCAUAAAUAUCGCUUUAUUGCAAUCUAACUACAUUAAAAAAAAAAAAAAAUAGGACUUGUUUUUGGACCCGGAUCCGGUACUGGAUUCGCAGUACCCACGGAUCCGGAUCUGGGUCUUGUAAAAUUGGACCCGCGGAUCCGGGUCCGGAUAUGGAUCCUGCUCUUGAAAACGGAUCCGGAUCCGGGUCCACCUGGACCCCGCCCGGAUCCAACCCGUUGCCAUCCCUAAGUAAAAGUUUCUAAAUCUUCUCUAUUGUACUAGCAUUUUACUUUUAUAGUGUUCAAUUUAAGGCUUCAAGCUUGAUUCUUUCACCAAAGAAUGUGAGAAGUUCCAAGAUUUGGAUGAUAUCUCUUUGUUUGUGGCCUGUACCCCUACUUUGAAAAAUAAAAAAGAAAAUAAAAAAAAAAAAAAAAUUUGAAAACCAAAAACACGGGUAAUUGGAGAAAGAGAGAGAAGGCUUCCUUGAGAAUUCAGAAAGCCAAGCCUCACGCGAAAGGAAAUCGCCUCCUCCCUGCUUCAAGCCUCCUGCCUGCUUGCCUCGCCUCCGGCCUCCCCACGUCGACGUCCUACCUCCGGCUUCAAGCCUCCUCCCUGCACCCUGCUUCAAGCCACCGCCGUACGUUUAAUCGUUUAAUCGGGAAAGAGAAGGAACAGAAAAGAAAGAAAGAGAAGCUCGAUCUCCUUACACCUCGAGUUAAAAUCAACCCUAAUUUUUCAGUUUUAGAACUUGGGUGAGGGUGAAGCUGCCAUUAAUAAGAACGCUGUGGAGGUGGAGGUGCUUGAGGUUGAAGAAGAAAGCUAAGGCGGGAGGCGGCUGUUCUCCAUCAAGUUCUUGACUUUUUGGGAUUUAUCUGUUGAUUAUCAAUCAUAACCCCAUUUACCCAUUUUGUUUGUUUCAGUUUUUGAUCUUGUUUUGCUAUGAUUCAAACCACAUUGUUAAGAUUUAGAAGGUUUAAAGUUGAUUUUAUUUGAAGAAAACCCAUUUCUAAUUGUUGCGCAUUUUAGCCAGAAUUUGAAAUAUUUGAGGUGAAGUUGCUGAAUUUUGUAUAUUUUCUACUUGUUUUUUGAUCUUAAGUGCUAGAUCUGUUUUUGGUUUGGUUUUCUAUGUUGUUGAUUGCUGAUUUUUGAGCGCAUUUUGGGAAUAAUUUGAAACAAAUCAAUCAGAAUAUACUUGUUUAUUUUGCUUUAGGUUGAUUUGGCUCAAUUAAAUGUAAAUUUUGUGGGAGAUUGGGGCCGAAGUGACCCACAUUAGUGUAGAUAUUGAUAGUUAAUUGCCUUUCUUUUGGGGUUUUGGAAGUUUUUUUUUUUAAGGAAAAGAUGAUUAUACUUUCUGGUUUUUUAGAGAUUUUUGCAAUUGUCUUACUUAUGCUUUGAAUAGAAAGUGUAAAUGAACUUUGUAAGCAAUUAGUCAAACUGUUGUGGGAGUAGAUUUAAAAUGUUGCCAUUGAUAUCAAUUCUUCAUUUAUGAUUAUGAACCCUAAUUCCCUAAAUCCCUAAUUAUAAUUUGUUGAUUUACUGAUUUGUUUCAUUGUUUGUUGGUUAAAUUUAGAUACUUAAUUUGAUUAUUACUUGAUUACUUGAAUAUAUAGUUGAUUAGUUGAAUACUUGAUUUGUAAUUUUGAAGUAAGACUUUUAAGUAUUGUAAGACUUUUAUUGUUAUUUUGGAUUGUUUGACUUUAACUAUUGAUUCUAUUAUGUGUUGUAAGUUUUUAUUUUUUAAAAAAAUUUUAUUCGAUAUCCGAACGACAUGACGUUCGUAUUUUGUACCCCAGUUUGAAAUUCCUGGGUCCGCCACUGCUCCACAUGAUGUAGGAAGUAGAAACAAUUGUAUACAUUUCCAUGAUGAUGAUAUUGGGUCGUAUAAUUGGAUUAGAGAUCAAAUCGGAGGGCACUACAUUGUGUCUUUGACAUGAAUGGAAAGAGCAGUUAACCAUUGUGUGUUUACUGUACUAAAACAAAAUCCAGGUACUCUUGGUCCAUGUACAUUGUAAUUUUCUCCGUCAUUUGAAUUAUGAGGAAAGUUUGAGGAACUGUACGAGUCUACAUAACGUAUCAGUCAUCGAGUUAUAGUCUCACUGGAUUUAUAACCACUUUUUUCUUUAUGAUUCUUGGUUUUUGAUCGCUAACUUGAUCAUGAAGUAGUUUUUAGUGUUUUCCAACUCGUUCUAUUUUUUGCCUUUUGUCUCUGUUGAUUCAAAUCUCUUCCUAAGAAGCAAAGUUAUACAUGGCUCAAGUUAGAGAUGCUUUCAUUUCGUGAGUAUUAUUCACAAAAGCAGACUUGUAGGGAAUUGGUUUGGGAUGGCCACAGUAUGGUUUUGCAUAUAUUGUGGGCAUAUUUAAUAUUCCUCAAUGCCUUUGAGAUUGCUAUUAGUAGUGACAUUUCCCCUCACUGUCAUUAUCGGUAACAAUCUCUAGGGGUUAGAGGGAGUAUUAGUGUACUAUCAAGGAAACAGUAUGACCUUUUUUAAAUUUAGGAAAUGAUUAUCGUAUUUGUACAUCUUGAGUUUGUCAACUGAUAUUCUCUAUGCUUUGGAAAUAAAUUAGCGUCAUACUCCUUCAUCCAACUCAAUUUGCCACAUUUCGGUUUUCCAUGUGAGAUUUUAACCUAAAUGUUGCAAAAUGAGCGGGGACAGAAAAGUAUUCGAAGAUUGAACCUAUGUGAGAAUUUUCUACCUGAUGCUUUUAUAAGUUAUUAAUGCCAUCAUUAUGACUCUUGUACAGCAUUUGUUUUCGGAGCAAAAUUAUACCUCAUAUAAAAAAUACCAUGGGAGGUACCGGCGGACAAAGGCUUUCAGGGUUACAGAAGGAAGUCCUGAAUCUUUACAGAGGGUUUCUGCGAGCAGCCCGUUCUAAAUCACCAGAACAUCGUCAUCAGAUCGAAUCAAUUGUGUCUGAAGAGUUCCACCGCAAUUCCAAGCAAAUUGAUCGUAAGAAUUUUGUUUACAUAGAAUACUUGCUUCGACUUGGUAAAAAACAGCUUGAUCAACUCAAGAGUAGUGAUAUUGUCAGAUUAUCAUCCAUGAAGGUUGGAGGGGAUCAGAAUAAAGAUUCAUAGUUUUGAAUCGGUACAUUAGAUGAAUGCUAUCUGAACGGCUGAACCCAAUCGGCUUUGAUAAGUGAAAACCAUAAAGCCCUUGAAUAUUUGGCAUAUAUUUGGCGAUGUUUUAGACUUCGAGACGCCAGAACAUGCAACUUUGAUUUGUAACACAGCCUUCGCAGUUGACAGUACAUAAAAGUAUAGAUCAUUAGUCUCAUAACUGUUUUAUUUUCCCUCCCCGUUUCCACUGUCGAGUAAAAAUGAGUAACAUUGCCGCAGAUUUAUCUUACGAAAAGGAGAAAUUGUUGCAUUUGUCUGUUUAUUACAAUCUCAUUUUUAUUAUUUAUCACAUUAAUUCAUUAACUGUUUA
Amaranthus tricolor (Joseph's coat) is the source of this 3822-nucleotide long non-coding RNA. RefSeq lists it as uncharacterized. The transcript has 2 exons. The record is from RefSeq and is a predicted model, not a curated record. NCBI's taxonomy places the organism in Eukaryota, Viridiplantae, Streptophyta, Magnoliopsida, Caryophyllales, Amaranthaceae.